Molecule: long non-coding RNA, 1831 nt
Filed under: Solanum tuberosum (potato)
Lineage: Eukaryota; Viridiplantae; Streptophyta; Magnoliopsida; Solanales; Solanaceae
Description: long non-coding RNA (STUB_LNC009525)
Rfam family: Small nucleolar RNA R21 (bases 482-562)
Source: RNAcentral
UGCAACUUGCAUCUCCAUAAAUAUUAGCUAUGGCAAUUUAAGGUUGUGAACUGAAGCCAAUUGAUGAUUUACAUUGUGACAGGUGAUUUUAAAAAUUAUUUAUUGCUGUGAUAUGUUAUAAUGUGUCUGCUUUUUCAGAAGUUUCUUUGAUACUUGUGAUGAAUCAACUGAAUAAUUUUAAAGUAGUGGCCUGAUGACCAUUGAUGAAAAACUUUUUGCCGAGGGAUUUCUUGUUUACAUUUAGUGUUAAGUAGUUUUUGCCUUAAUUUUACCACAAAUGUACUGUCAAUUUGCAUAUACAAUGGCACUCGGUAUUACAUGUUUAUGCCUAAAAAUCUAAAAAUGUGGUGUCUUUUUUCUUGUUAGGCAUCAGUCAUCACUAUUCUGGAGUGCUAGUCAAUAAUAUGGUUAUUUACAUCGUCUUAGAAUAUUGUUAUACUGCGAUAUGUUAUAAUGUGUCUUGAUUUUUCAGAAGUAUUUAAAUCCCGAUGAUGAAGUUAGCUGAAUAAUUUAAAAGUAGUGGCCUGAUGACCAUUGAUGAAAAGCUUUACUCUGAGGGAUUUCAUGUUUCUUUGCUUUGUUUCUUCUUCUUCUUCACAAAGGGACUUGAUAUGGUUAAACUAGUUUUUGUUUUAGUUAACAUAUGUUGUGUCAAUUCGCACGUACAAUUGUACGCGAUAGUGUUUUUAAGCCCUUUUUCUUUUUGCCAAUACAUAUUGUCUUUUUCUUGCUAGCCAUCAUCCUUCUACUACUAUUGUUUUCUUAGUCAGUAAUUUGGUAAUAUACUUCAUCUUAAAGUAUUUUCUUGUAUUCAUACAUGGGUAUAGCCAGGUGAUGCCGGAAAAUUAUAUGGUUAAAAUUACUUUUUUUGUAGACAUAGUAGAUGUUGAACCUCAUUCGGCUUCUUUGUGUGUUAACUUCUUCAUAUUUUGAUCCCUUAAGUGAAAAUCUUGGCCUUGCCACUGUUUAUACAUACGAUGCUUAAUAAGAUACUUUCAACUAUUGUGCAAAUAUAGUACAUAGAUAUUGCCAAAGGUUCUUAUUCAGAUCCCUGUGUUAGAUUGUGUGGAGCCAAAAAAAAAAAUAUGGUGAACUUGUUUUUGCUUUAAUUGUACCACAUCUGUGGUGUCGAUUUGCUUGUACAAUGGCACUCAAUAUUACAUUUAAUAUAUUUUCUUGUAUAUAUAUACCUAAGAUACUUAUGUAAUGUUACUCAACUUUCAACUGUCAAUUCUGAGUUGUACCAUAUUAUAGUUUUAUGAGUUGGAUGUGAUGAAUAGAUUUUGUCAAAGGUACUUGUUCAGAUUCUUCCUUUGUUUGAUAUACUUGUCCCCUUGUUUGUUGUAAGAUUGUGUGGAGUUCAAAAAAAGAGAACAAGAUUGUACUUGACAUUGUUUGUUGCUUUAUCUCUAGUUGUCAUCCACAUCAAGGGUUCAAGUAACAACAACAAUUUACUCUGUAUAAUCUCACAAGUGGUGUUUGAAGAGGAUAGAAUGUAUGCAAAAGUGGCGUCUCCGAUAAACCGUCCAUCAAAAGAUAAGAGUUCAAGGAAUAUAACCCAAAAUAUAUGAAUGUUUGGAGAGGAUAGAAUGUACGCAAAAGUGGCGUUUCUGAUCAAAAAGAUAAGGGUCCAAGGAAUAUAGCCCAAUAUAUAUGAAGGGACAACUAUGAGAACAAAGAUAGAGAACUAGAUAUGUACAAAAUUACAAGAUUGAUUCUCCUGUUUGCAUCCAAAGCUCUGAUUUGAGUUUGUGUAUUACAAUAUUUUAGAUACUAUUUAUAAACAAUUUGAGUUUAAACAUUUUAUAUUGUCCUUUAUUAAAUGAUUUAG